Molecule: ribosomal RNA, 480 nt
Filed under: uncultured bacterium
Lineage: Bacteria
Description: bacterial SSU rRNA
Rfam family: Bacterial small subunit ribosomal RNA
Source: RNAcentral
UCCUGGCUCAGGAUGAACGCUAGCGGCAGGCCUAAUACAUGCAAGUCGAGCGGCAAGUCGAGGAGUAAUCUAAGACCUUAGAGCGGCGCACGGGUGCGUAACGCGUAUGCAACCUACCUUAUACUGGGGGUAUAGCCCGGAGAAAUUCGGAUUAAUCCCCCAUAGUACUAUUUGAUCGCAUGGUUGAAUAGUUAAAGCAUUGCGGUAUAAGAUGGGCAUGCGUCCUAUUAGCUAGAUGGUGAGGUAACGGCUCACCAUGGCUACGAUAGGUAGGGGGCCUGAGAGGGUGGUCCCCCACACUGGAACUGAGAUACGGUCCAGACUCCUACGGGAGGCAGCAGUGGGGAAUAUUGCACAAUGGGCGCAAGCCUGAUGCAGCAACGCCGCGUGAGGGAUGAAGGCCUUCGGGUUGUAAACCUCUUUUAGCAGGGAAGAAGCGAAAGUGACGGUACCUGCAGAAAAGCACCGGCUAACUACGUG